UACGGAGGGGGCAAGCGGUGUUCGGAAUUACUGGGCGUAAAGGGCGCGUAGGCGGACCUUCAAGUCAGGGGUGAAAGGCCUGGGCUCAACCUGGGAACUGCCUUUGAAACUGGAGGUCUUGAGUCCGGGAGAGGAUGGCGGAAUUCCCAGUGUAGAGGUGAAAUUCGUAGAUAUUGGGAAGAACACCGGGGGCGAAGCCGGCCAUCUGGUCCGGCACUGACGCUGAGGCGCGAAAGGGUCGCGAGGUAACAGG
RNAcentral lists this ribosomal RNA (253 nucleotides) under uncultured bacterium. RNAcentral describes it as "partial 16S ribosomal RNA". It matches the Rfam family "Bacterial small subunit ribosomal RNA", at positions 524 to 776 of the family's 1533-position model. The record is from RNAcentral.